RNAcentral lists this ribosomal RNA (406 nucleotides) under uncultured bacterium. RNAcentral describes it as "partial 16S ribosomal RNA". It matches the Rfam family "Bacterial small subunit ribosomal RNA", at positions 30 to 526 of the family's 1533-position model. The record is from RNAcentral.
AUUGAACGCUGGCGGCAGGCCUAACACAUGCAAGUCGAGCGAGCGGCGGACGGGUGAGUAAUGUAUGGGGAUCUGCCUGAUGGAGGGGGAUCACUACUGGAAACGGUCGCUAAUACCGCAUACCAUCAGAUGACCCCAUAUGGGAUGAGCUUGUAGGUAGGGUAACGGCUUACCUAGGCGACGAUCCCUAGCUGGUCUGAGAGGAUGACCAGCCACACUGGGACUGAGACACGGUCCAGACUCCUACGGGAGGCAGCAGUGGGGAAUAUUGCACAAUGGGCGCAAGCCUGAUGCAGCCAUGCCGCGUGUAUGAAGAAGGCCUUCGGGUUGUAAAGUACUUUCAGUCGGGAGGCGUUACUCACAGAAGAAGCACCGGCUAACUCCGUGCCAGCAGCCGCGGUAAUAC